This is a long non-coding RNA of Prinia subflava (tawny-flanked prinia), 1839 nucleotides long. RefSeq lists it as uncharacterized. Lineage: Eukaryota; Metazoa; Chordata; Aves; Passeriformes; Cisticolidae. The record is from RefSeq and is a predicted model, not a curated record. The transcript is spliced from 3 exons.
GCUCCUUGCAGCCAAGUGUCACCUGAUCACACCAGGAAAUGCCCUGAAAUGGCCGGACACUGACCAUGCUCACACUGUCCCCACAUCUUCUCUCACUCCUCACCUCACACACUGAGGGACACCACGUUCCCCCACCAUGGAAAGUGCCAGCUCUGCCUUCUGCAGGUGCUUCAUCCCUGCCUGGAGCCUCUCUCUCUGAGGGGCACAGAGAGGAGGCUGGGCUGUGGCUCGCACCAUGUGGCACCCAGCCAGUGCUGAGGAGCAGAGGCAGCCCAGUGCUCUCCUCCAGGGCAGCAGGGAGCACCAGGGAGCCUUGGUCCUGCCAGAGUGGCCACAGGGUUGGCUGCCCCCAUGCAGUGUAGCUGGGAGAAGGUCCUGAGCACUGCCACUGGGCGCUGGAUCCCAGCUUGUGCAGAGCAGGACAAGGCUGGACAGCAUGGAAAGGCAUGGCAAGCAUGUGCUCCUGCUCCCUCCCUUGGAAAUGCCGUUAUUUAGAUGAGAAAAUAUGGAAGCGCCUUCAGUCGCUGCUCAGUGACCUUCAAAACCAUCCAGCAAAUUGGGCUUGGACGCCGAGCCAGGCCAGAUGGCCCUUCUCAAACACGCUGGCCGUGCAAACGGGGUUUUACUCCUGGAUCCUGCUCCUGCUGCAAGGCAGCCUCGUGAAACGGCGCGCUCAGUCUGUGCGCUGGGAAGGCAGCCACGCCGCCCGUGCCGAGGGGGAGGCGCUGGGGCACUGCCAGGCGGGGCUGGGGAGGGACAGAGCUGGCUGAGCCCGGAGGCUUUGGGGUGUUUUCAGUUCACUCAGGCAGAUGAGCCUAACUAGGAAGCGACCACGCAGGGAUUCCAGGAUGCUUCAUUAGCAUGCAAUCUGGAGAGGAGUGCUCUGCCUCUACAUGCAAAGGGAGGCUGAAGCUACUGCAGAAGCUGUGACUGAGGGAUCCAUCUCCCAAAAUCAGGGCUGAACAAGCCUCUGGCACGGAUGCCAUCCUGCAGGGAUGUUGGGGACCCCGGUGCAGUGGCUGGAGGAGUGCUGGGGCUGAGGGCCCAUUGUCACACGCCCACAUUGGUGACCAACAGCACCACCUCCCCCUGUCACUCCUGGUCUCUCACCAGUCCCCUCCCUUGUCUGUCCUUGGUCACCAACGAGAGGCACAGGGGGAGGUGGAUGAGGCUGGUGAUUGCCUCCAGGUCAGCAGCAUCAGGAACACGGGGCAACUCUUCCACACAGACCUGGGAAUGGAGGGAGGUCCUCAAGGAGCUCAGCUGCUGAUAAAUGCUUCCCAACGGGACUGGCAUGGCCUUGCUGGUGACCUGAGCCUCUGGCAAGGGUUUCAUGCCCUCACCUAUGCGAGGAAUCAACCAUAUCCCCUAAGGUCUCUUGCCCAGAGGUCCUCCCUUGGGUACUGGGGGACUCUGCCUGAGGGGACAGGGACUGUGACAAGCGCCUGUGAGCUGUCAGGGUGAUGCUGAGCCCAGAGGAGCUGCUACAGCCUGUUGGUGUGGAGACAGGGAAUCGUGUGCUGGGCUGCAGAUCUCCCUGCCCCCGAGCUGGGCCAUGGUGGCUGUGCCAGAAGGGGAGAUUAGAGGCUGAAUGAACUUGUUCCACGACAUGCACCAUUUUCUAUGCAGCAAAGGUAUGUUUAAUCACAUGGAAUUGCUGCCAAGAAUUAGCAUUGAAAGCUAUUAUUAGGCAUUGCUAUUAUUAAAGAACAGAUUUCCCCCUAAAUGCUGUUCUGGAGCAAAAUCCAAUACUGGAGUGCGCACCAAAGGUUGAUCGGAAAUUUUCUGCCAAAGGUUGGUCAGCAAUUUCCCACCCAACCAGUACCACAUGAAAAAUGA